CCCUUAGACGUCCUGGGCCGCACGCGCGCUACACUGAUGCAUGCAACGAGUUUAUAACCUUGGCCUGAAAGGUCUGGGUAAUCUUUUGAACGUGCAUCGUGAUAGGGAUAGAUUAUUGCAAUUGUUAAUCUUGAACGAGGAAUUCCUAGUAAACGCGAGUCAUCAGCUCGCAUUGAUUACGUCCCUGCCCUUUGUACACACCGCCCGUCGCACCUACCGAUUGAAUGGUUCGGUGAAGAUCUCGGACUUCGAUAUUUAUUCUUUAUUGAGUUUAUAUUGUGGGAAGUUAUCUAAACCUCAUCAUUUAGAGGAAGGUGAAGUCGUAACA
This 328-nucleotide ribosomal RNA is filed under the name uncultured eukaryote. RNAcentral's name for it is "partial 18S ribosomal RNA". It matches the Rfam family "Eukaryotic small subunit ribosomal RNA", at positions 1470 to 1796 of the family's 1831-position model. The record is from RNAcentral.